This 303-nucleotide ribosomal RNA is filed under the name uncultured bacterium. RNAcentral describes it as "partial 16S ribosomal RNA". It matches the Rfam family "Bacterial small subunit ribosomal RNA", at positions 507 to 807 of the family's 1533-position model. The record is from RNAcentral.
AGCAGUCGCCACGGUAAUACGAAGGGGGCUAGCGUUGCUCGGAAUGACUGGGCGUAAAGGGCGCGUAGGCGGAUGGCACAGUCAGAUGUGAAAUUCCUGGGCUUAACCUGGGGGCUGCAUUUGAUACGUGUUGUCUAGAGUGUGAAAGAGGGUCGUGGAAUUCCCAGUGUAGAGGUGAAAUUCGUAGAUAUUGGGAAGAACACCGGUGGCGAAGGCGGCGACCUGGUUCAUGACUGACGCUGAGGCGCGAAAGCGUGGGUAGCAAACAGGAUUAGAUACCCCUGUAGUCCCUGUCUCUUAUAC